GACGAACGCUGGCGGCGUGCUUAACACAUGCAAGUCGAACGAUGAACCCGGAGCUUGCUCUGGGGGAUUAGUGGCGAACGGGUGAGUAACACGUGAGUAACCUGCCCUGGACUCUGGGAUAAGCGUUGGAAACGACGUCUAAUACCGGAUAGGACCUUGGAUCGCAUGAUCUGGGGUGAAAAGUUUUUUCGGUCUGGGAUGGACUCGCGGCCUAUCAGCUUGUUGGUGAGGUAAUGGCUCACCAAGGCGUCGACGGGUAGCCGGCCUGAGAGGGUGACCGGCCACACUGGGACUGAGACACGGCCCAGACUCCUACGGGAGGCAGCAGUGGGGAAUAUUGCACAAUGGGCGAAAGCCUGAUGCAGCAACGCCGCGUGCGGGAUGACGGCCUUCGGGUUGUAAACCGCUUUUAGUAGGGAAGAAGGGCUUCGGCUUGACGGUACCUGCAGAAAAAGGACCGGCUAACUACGUG
RNAcentral lists this ribosomal RNA (472 nucleotides) under uncultured bacterium. Its description in RNAcentral is "partial 16S ribosomal RNA". It matches the Rfam family "Bacterial small subunit ribosomal RNA", at positions 28 to 507 of the family's 1533-position model. The record is from RNAcentral.